CCCUUAGAUGUCCUGGGCUGCACGCGCGCUACACUGGAAGUUACGGAUUGAGAUACUACCUUGUCCGAAAUGGUCCGGGUAAUCACCUAAAAGCUUGUCAUAAUUGGAAUGGAUUAUUGUAACUAGUAAUCCUGAACGAGGAAUUCCUAGUAAGUCCCAGUCAACAACUGGUACUGAUUACGUCCCUGCCCUUUGUACACACCGCCCGUCGCUACUACUGAUUGGACGUUUAAGCAAGAUUUUUAAACACUGACAGUGUGUAGUUCACGCUAUACUACAGUGAGAAGAAGAAGAUCGAGCUUACUUGUCUAGAGGAAGUAAAAGUCGUAACA
RNAcentral lists this ribosomal RNA (332 nucleotides) under uncultured eukaryote. RNAcentral's name for it is "partial 18S ribosomal RNA". It matches the Rfam family "Eukaryotic small subunit ribosomal RNA", at positions 1470 to 1796 of the family's 1831-position model. The record is from RNAcentral.